RNAcentral lists this ribosomal RNA (205 nucleotides) under uncultured bacterium. RNAcentral's name for it is "partial 16S ribosomal RNA". It matches the Rfam family "Bacterial small subunit ribosomal RNA", at positions 568 to 774 of the family's 1533-position model. The record is from RNAcentral.
AGCGCAGGUGGUUGUAUAAGUCUGAAGUAAAAGGCAGUGGCUCAACCAUUGUGUGCUUUGGAAACUGUACAACUUGAGUGUAGAAGGGGAGAGUGGAAUUCCAUGUGUAGCGGUGAAAUGCGUAGAUAUAUGGAGGAACACCGGUGGCGAAAGCGGCUCUCUGGUCUGUAACUGACACUGAGGCUCGAAAGCGUGGGAGCAAACA